UAGAGCUGUUACCUAUCUGUUCUGGAGACAUGGGUUCGAUUCCGGCCUAGGCAGGUUUUGUGGGAAUGAAUGGAUGGUGAAUGGAUGAGUGCGAGUAACUGUAUGUGUGAAUUGAUUACUAUGAAUGACUUAAUUCACAAUAAUCAAUUAGCACAAACAGUGAUUCGGAAUGAAUGGGUGAGUGGGAAUGACUGUCUGGGAGAAUGGAUGGCUGGGAGUGAGUGCACUCAUUCACAGUCAUCCAAUCUCCCAGACAGUCAUUCGAAAUGAAUGUGUGAGCGAAUGGAUCCCUUCACUAGACAGUUGUUCCCACAAACUGCCCAUGGCAGGAAACAAACCCAUGUCCCCAGAACAGAUAGGAAACAGCUCACCUGCCGAGGCACUUCUUGUUA
This is a long non-coding RNA of Gadus macrocephalus (Pacific cod), 392 nucleotides long. RefSeq lists it as uncharacterized. Lineage: Eukaryota; Metazoa; Chordata; Actinopteri; Gadiformes; Gadidae. The transcript is spliced from 2 exons. The record is from RefSeq and is a predicted model, not a curated record.